RNAcentral lists this transfer RNA (77 nucleotides) under Rickettsiales bacterium. RNAcentral's name for it is "tRNA-Met". It matches the Rfam family "tRNA". Rfam says of the family: Transfer RNA (tRNA) molecules are approximately 80 nucleotides in length. Their secondary structure includes four short double-helical elements and three loops (D, anti-codon, and T loops). Lineage: Bacteria; Pseudomonadati; Pseudomonadota; Alphaproteobacteria; Rickettsiales. The record is from RNAcentral.
CGCGGGGUAGAGCAGCUCGGUAGCUUGCCAGGCUCAUAAUCUGGAGGUCGUAGGUUCAAAUCCUACCCCCGCAACCA